Molecule: non-coding RNA, 168 nt
Organism: Maylandia zebra (zebra mbuna)
Lineage: Eukaryota; Metazoa; Chordata; Actinopteri; Cichliformes; Cichlidae
Source: RefSeq, a predicted model, not a curated record
GGUAAUCUGGCCAGUGGUAAGUCAGCGCUGGUCCACAGAUACCUGACGGGAACGUAUGUCCAGGAGGAGUCACCAGAGGCUGACGUGGAUGCAGGCGGGCGCUUUAAGAAGGAGAUUGUAGUGGACGGUCAGAGUCACCUGCUGCUCAUCAGAGAUGAAGGAGGCCCC